RNAcentral lists this ribosomal RNA (498 nucleotides) under uncultured bacterium. Its description in RNAcentral is "partial 16S ribosomal RNA". It matches the Rfam family "Bacterial small subunit ribosomal RNA", at positions 29 to 523 of the family's 1533-position model. The record is from RNAcentral.
AUUGAACGCUGGCGGCAUGCUUUACACAUGCAAGUCGAACGGUAACAGGCCGCAAGGUGCUGACGAGUGGCGAGCGGGUGAGUAAUGCAUCGGAACGUGCCCAGUCGUGGGGGAUAACGCAGCGAAAGCUGUGCUAAUACCGCAUACGAUCUAUGGAUGAAAGCGGGGGACCGUAAGGCCUCGCGCGAUUGGAGCGGCCGAUGUCAGAUUAGCUAGUUGGUGGGGUAAAGGCCCACCAAGGCGACGAUCUGUAGCUGGUCUGAGAGGACGACCAGCCACACUGGGACUGAGACACGGCCCAGACUCCUACGGGAGGCAGCAGUGGGGAAUUUUGGACAAUGGGCGCAAGCCUGAUCCAGCAAUGCCGCGUGCAGGAAGAAGGCCUACGGGUUGUAAACUGCUUUUGUACGGAACGAAACGGUCUGGGUUAAUACCCUGGGCUAAUGACGGUACCGUAAGAAUAAGCACCGGCUAACUACGUGCCAGCCGCCGCGGUAA